RNAcentral lists this unclassified non-coding RNA (396 nucleotides) under soil metagenome. RNAcentral's name for it is "partial contains 5.8S ribosomal RNA, internal transcribed spacer 2, and large subunit ribosomal RNA". The stretch from base 1 to 122 matches the Rfam family "5.8S ribosomal RNA", at positions 35 to 154 of the family's 154-position model. The record is from RNAcentral.
GAUGAAGAACGUAGCGAAAUGUGAUACUUGGUGUGAAUUGCAGAAUCCCGUGAACCAUCGAGUCUUUGAACGCAAGUUGCGCCCGAGGCCUCCUGGUCGAGGGCACGUCUGCCUGGGUGUCACGCAUCGUCGCCCCCGCUCCCCUCGGCUCACGAGGGCGGGGGCGGAUACUGGUCUCCCGCGCGCUCCCGCUCGCGGCUGGCCCAAAAUCGAGUCCCCGGCGACGGUCGCCACGACGAGCGGUGGUUGAGAGACCCUCGGACACUGUCGUGCGCGCGCCCGUCGCCCCCGGGAUCUCCUGGACCCUCGGGCAUCGACCUUUCUAGGAUGCUCUCGUUGCGACCCCAGGUCAGGUGGGACUACCCGCUGAGUUUAAGCAUAUCAAUAAGCGGAGGA